RNAcentral lists this ribosomal RNA (497 nucleotides) under uncultured bacterium. RNAcentral's name for it is "partial 16S ribosomal RNA". It matches the Rfam family "Bacterial small subunit ribosomal RNA", at positions 28 to 507 of the family's 1533-position model. The record is from RNAcentral.
GAUGAACGCUGGCGGCGUGCCUAAUACAUGCAAGUCGAGCGAACGGACGAGAAGCUUGCUUCUCGGAUGUUAGCGGCGGACGGGUGAGUAACACGUGUAUAACCUACCUAUAAGAGUGGUAUAACUUCGGGAAACCGGAGCUAAUACCGGAUAAUAUUUUGAACCACAUGGUUCGAUAGUGAGAUACGGUCUUUCGGGCACGUAUAGAUGGAUCCGCGCUGCAUGAGCUAGUUGUUAAGGUAACGGCUUACCAAGGCAACGAUGCAUAGCCGACCUGAGAGGGUGAUCGGCGACACUGGAACUGAGACACGGUCCAGACUACUACGGGAGGCAGCAGUAGGGAAUCUUACGCAAUGGGCGAAAGUAUGACGGAGUAAGGCCGAGUGAGUGAUGACGGUCUUGGGAGCGUAAAAAUCUGUUAUUAGGGAAGAACCUAUGUGUAAGUAAAUGUGCACAUCUUGACGGUAACUAAUAAGAAAGCCACGGCUAACUACGUG